UAUUUUUUGGUUUGCUUUAUACCACAACAGUUGUCACACCAUUCCUGCUUGAUACAACAAUUACUGUGAAAUGAGGAACAGUGACAAGAUUUCAGCAAUGGAAACAUCUUCCAGGAUACUGGAGGAUAUAAGGAUGGGAAGACUCUCUGCUGUUAAUUGUUCUGGGAAAGUACCUGUGAUUGUUUUUCCUUACCUUCUAACCAGUAUGAUAAAAAGAAGCAAACGAUGGCAUCUCACUCUAUUGUCCAGACUGGAAUGC
Molecule: long non-coding RNA, 259 nt
Organism: Cercocebus atys (sooty mangabey)
Lineage: Eukaryota; Metazoa; Chordata; Mammalia; Primates; Cercopithecidae
Exons: 4
Source: RefSeq, a predicted model, not a curated record